This 397-nucleotide ribosomal RNA is filed under the name uncultured bacterium. RNAcentral's name for it is "partial 16S ribosomal RNA". It matches the Rfam family "Bacterial small subunit ribosomal RNA", at positions 523 to 918 of the family's 1533-position model. The record is from RNAcentral.
AUACGUAGGUGACAAGCGUUAUCCGGAUUUACUGGGCGUAAAGGGCGUGUAGGCGGUCUUGCAAGUCAGAAGUGAAAUUCCUGAGCUCAACUCGGGCGCUGCUUCUGAAACUGCAGGACUUGAGUGCUGGAGGGGAUAGCGGAAUUCCUAGUGGAGCGGUAAAAUGCGCAGAUAUUAGGAAGAACACCGGUGGCGGAGGCGGCUAUCUGGACAGUAACGGACGCUGAGGCGCGAAAGCGUGGGGAGCAAACAGGAUUAUAUACCCUGAGAGUCCGCGCCGUAAACGAUGAAUACUAGGUGUAGGGGGUAUCGACUCCCUCUGUGCCGCAGUUAACACAAUAAGUAUUCCGCCUGGGGAGUACGGCCGCAAGGUUGAAACUCAAAGGAAUUGACGGGG